UGUACCUAGGCUACUGCCCGACGCCUCCAUUCUCUCUCUCUCUCUCAUUAUCUCUGAGAAUCCAGCCGGUCCUCCUCCCGUCCCCUCCCCCACAGCCGGCGGCCCUCCCGAUCUGGAGGCCUCCGACCAGAUUAGCUCCUCCAUACCACGGCGUGCCUCGCGGUGUCCCGGCUCGCUCGCCGUCACCCAGCUCGUUGCGGAUCUGGGAAGUCCGCACUCACCAAGCCUCCCGACGUCUCCUGGCACCAGAUCCGGCGACGAACAGGCUGUCUUGUGCCUCCUCCUCAAGCUCACGAGCUGGGAUUGCCUCUUCUUGCUUGCCAAUGGAUUUGUAGUUCAAGAUUUGUACAAGAACUUUUUGGAUGUCCGUAUCGUCCUUUGCUGAAAAUUGAUGAAGGACUUUAUCUUUUUUACAAAGAACUCUGUUUCUACAAAGCGGUCUCUUUGUAUAAAUUGCUGAAGAACUUUAUUGUUAUA
This is a long non-coding RNA of Triticum aestivum (bread wheat), 477 nucleotides long. RefSeq lists it as uncharacterized. The transcript has 2 exons. Lineage: Eukaryota; Viridiplantae; Streptophyta; Magnoliopsida; Poales; Poaceae. The record is from RefSeq and is a predicted model, not a curated record.